CGACCGGCGCACGGGUGAGUAACGCGUAUGCAACCUACCUAUCAGAGGGAAUAACCCGGCGAAAGUCGGACUAAUACCGCAUAAAACAGGGGUUCCACAUGGAAAUAUUUGUUAAAGAAUUAUCGCUGAUAGAUGGGCAUGCGUUCCAUUAGAUAGUUGGUGAGGUAACGGCUCACCAAGUCCACGAUGGAUAGGGGUUCUGAGAGGAAGGUCCCCCACACUGGUACUGAGACACGGACCAGACUCCUACGGAAGGCAGCAG
Molecule: ribosomal RNA, 262 nt
Filed under: uncultured bacterium
Lineage: Bacteria
Description: partial 16S ribosomal RNA
Rfam family: Bacterial small subunit ribosomal RNA
Source: RNAcentral